UUUACUUUUACAAGAAAUCAUCAACAGAAAUAAAGCACAGAAAAGGGAACAGAUUGAAUUCAGUAGUUAUUUAAUAGAUUUAAAUGAUCUAAUUAACAAUAGCCUGAACAGCAGAAUUUUAGGGCUUUAUUUUAAAAUUGCAUGCCCCAUUUACAGUGUGUAUAAUCUUGCAUACUUAUUCACACUUAAUUUUUUUUCCAUCCAUUAGCUCUUGGUUGCAACUGACUCCCAGUCCUUGGACUCCCACCCACUUCAUAAUUAAGUGCCCUACCUGAAAAGAAGAAUAGAUAUACAUCAGAGGAAACCGCGUCCAUCUUCCCUAGUGGAGAACAUCAUGAUGUUCUGCAGUGACUGCACUGGGCUAGGAAAAGAAAUGACUGCUGCUGGUAAGUGAACAGAAAAACAGAAGAGUGACUAACUAGGUCUGCAACAGGGAUAACAUCUCACUUUGCUUGGAACAGUACUGCAGCAGAACCCUGCAGUAUAGGAGCAGAAGUCUACUUCAUUAAAUACUGUAUGAUUAUAUGAAGUGUUAAAACACAGAAAUCACUACCAACUAUACUACCCAUCAUAACAUGCUCAGUUUGGACUUUGAGCUACCUUCAAAACUUUUUUAUUUUUAAUUAUUUUUUUAAAUAUAACAGUUCUGCCCAACACCAGAAUGGAUGAAGUAUAUAGCAGCUUUUGUGAACACACACUGUGUUUGAAAACUAUGUUAUGUAUAUUUUAAUUUGGAGGUCAAAUUCUGUGGGUUCCCCUUAUUUAGGUUGUGCCAGCCCAUGGAAUCAACUAAAGUAACAUGGAUUUGGCCAUACAUCAGAGCAGGAAAGCAUACCGCAAAGAACCAUGGUUUUAUGUCUGUGCAGUUAUGCCACAUUCUCACCUUUAUGAGGCAUGGCUUGCAGCCAUGCAGAGGGAAGAAUGUGUGGAAAUCAGGAACCCAUGGAAAUAUUCUUCUAAACCCAUAGAGCUGAUGCCAUUUGAGCAUAAACAUUAACAUUCUAAUCUAAAACGUUUUAUUCUUUACUGAAACUGACGUUAAGUGCAGUGAAUAACAUAAUCACUGAACAAUCCCAUGUGAUGGCGAAUGCUGUUGUUUUCAACAAAGACAAAACCAAAAGUAUAGACACUUACCUUCCUUCCCUCCUUUCUUUUUGCACUUUUUCAGUUCUUUCCUUCUCUUCCCUCAUUCUCCCUUGUUCUAAUUUUUUACAGAGGAAAAGAAAAUAAAAUGUUGAAACAGCAAAAGAAAUCUUUAAAGAAAUUGAUAUUUUGAAAGGUAAAUGUUAAAUAAAAUUGUGAGAAGAGCUUUUCACCAGCUCAGAAUAAUGGGUCUUAUUGUACUGCUCUUUCUGUGAACUCCUCAAACCUGUGGCCCUGGGAUGGUGACACAGAUUCCCUGCAAUCUGCAGAGGAACUGCCAGUGCACUAUUCAGUGAUAAUAUUGAUAGCAUCUCACCUUGCUUGCUUCACACAGAUCACUUUUCCCAAUUUUCUGCCUGCCUUGAAAAGUAUGUGCUCUUUCCUUGUCACCUCCCCCUGUGCCGGUAGGCGUGGGACUCAGCAUGUGUACAUGUUAGACAGACCUUUCUUCCAACAAUCUGUCUUUCUUUUUACUCCUUUCACCUGGACCUGCAGUCAUACUAUUAAUAUAAUGGCUCCUUUUGUGCAGUAUGACGCAAAGGAAUUUCAGGGCUUGGAUUUAUUUCUCAACAAGUCAGAAACAGUUUUUUAAACACUGCCAUUUAUUUCCCAGAAGCACUGAAUCAUCUUUGGGGCUGCGGUGCCGUGAAUUAUGCCUCAGAAUGCAUACAAAAUGGUGUCUUUCGUGGAAGGUUGGCUCAAUUAUUAGCAUAUCAUCAGAGUGAAAAUGUGUGUGAGGUGGCAAAUUCUCAUGAACAUGAAUUCCAGAUUUGGUCUGUCUUGAUAAGAAGUGGAUAGGAGAACAGGAGGAAAUGGCACUGAUGCUUCAAAACAGCUAGAGGCUGGAAAGUGUGGGGGGAAAAAGAAUCUGCAAUAUUGCAGACAUAUGGCUGCAACAUGACUGACUUCAAGAAAGAUAACACCUAAUGGCAAUGUGUUAUCAAACCAAAAAGAAGAAAAAUAAGUUGUUCACUGUCUCUUCCUUCUCUGAGCAUGAGUUCCAGAGGGUUCUCUCUGACCUGACAGCCAAGAUGUGAAUCUUCGUCAGCCCAUAGCUACUGCCUAGUCAGUACUGCUUCCAACACUCCCAGCCUCAUGACCCCAGCAGGCAGGGUAGACUUUGUAACACUGUGGGGAGUGCUGUCAUCCACAGAGGUGGAGUUUUGCCUUCCCACAGCUGGAGUGGAGCGAUGCCCAGCAGGAACCACGCUGGGCUGCUCUCCAGUGCUCAGAAACUCUGCCCUUAAUGCAAGAAGUGAGAGCUUCCAAAGCCCAGAGGAUGCUACUGUGCUCCCUGAGGCUGAGCCCCUCUCCCACUCUGUGUUGUAUUUUGGAAACAAUCACGAUCACCGAUGCCUUCUCUUUCCAGACAAGUGCCAGGAAGAAGUUUUCUUUCCGUGUUCCAACGCAUGAUUAAAGACAUGCUUUUAGCAACAGGGCACACACCGGAUUUUCUCCACCCAGCAAUAGCAAAAUAACUUCAGCUCCUGAGAGUUUCUUAUCCCCUCGUUGUUUAUAAUAAUAUCCCUAACACUAUUACGCUGUGUUUACCCAGCUCCUAAACACAGAUAUAAAAGGCAGGGUGAGCGGGAUCAUCUCUCUAUUGACGUCAUCAGGGGAUGCAAUAAUUUUCACUACGACUGAAUUUUAUCCAAAAUUUGUGCUAAAAAUGACUGUAUAAACAUUUGCUUUUUUAAAAGCAGUAAAUAUACGUCAGUCUGCAUCUCUGCAGGAAAUGAAAAAGUUAUUUCAUAUUUGGUUUUCUACUUAGGAGCCACAAGCACACCCUUCAAUAAUAUAGGCUAUCCUUGUAAACACCGGAGUUACUUUUUUGAGGUGAAGGAGUGCAAAAAUGAAUUCUCUAUUUUGCAGCUCUUCUGUCAUUUAAAAAUUAUCCGAAGCUGCUUUCCAGUUUGACACAUUUCUGUGCCUCAUUGCAGUCCUGAAUGAAUUUUUAUGAGUAAGUUAUACACCCCAAAUAGAGGACUUAGAAUGGAGGUAUUAACCUAGAGGUGUGAAUUGUGUUUCCAUGAUAUACUACAAGUUAACAUUCCUGCCUUUUCAUAACUUUCUGUUGCUGUUUGGGAAAAGCUAUAUCACAAUUUGCUAAACUUUGAGCAACACUAAUUCAAUCAUUUGAAUGAAAAGUAUUUUCUAAACAUUUUGCCAGCUCCACAGGGGCCAAGACUUUCUCUUUUGGGAACCUUUUGUGUAAGUACGAGGUUCCUUCAUAUUUCCAAGUGCUAUAGAAGAGCUGGCAGGAAAGUGAGAAUUCCUCUGCGUAAAGCAUUAAGAUCUUUUGAAACUUCUUUUUGCUCCCCAUGAGAAUUAAAUUAAGUCCUUACCCAUUAAAGAAAGAGAGAGAGAGAGCAGCACAGAUUAGUCAAUGGCAAUCCGGGCAGCUCUCUCAAAAGUGAGAGAUUGCAGUUCAGCUUUCACCUGUGGAUCAUGAAGUACCUUGGUUUGCCUAUAGCAGGAUGUUGGAAGGAAAAGCGCUUACUAUUUUAGUUCCAAAAUCCCUCUCAGUAUGUGAGAAACUUUCCUAGAAAAAGUUUUGAUAACUGUUAAUUUUUGUGCAAAGCUUUGGUGUCAGUGGUGACAAUGGCAUUGCAAGAAAUUCCAGUGUAUGCAAACUGUAUGAGAAGCUCAGCUUCUUUGUUGGCUUUCCUUAAUCCUUGUGAAGCCUACCUGAGAAGUCUAGAAGUAACUUGAUUACUGCCCUGUAUUUAUGUUUCAAUUCUUUUCCACUUCCUGUUUUUUCACACAUUCUAUAUCUUUUUUCUUUUUCUUUUUUUUUUCUCCAAAUCUUUUCUAAUUUUUUACUGAAAACCUAAAGCAGGGCUCCCACAAAACCAUUCAUCUCCAGAAACAUCAGCUCAGCACUGAGGCUCUCUACAGCAAAAGGACAAAGUAAUUCCUACUCUUAAAUGCUUUGUAGUACUGGGGGCCUUUGAGGCUGACCCUGCAACCCUUAUACAUACAAGUAGUCCUUGUUGUCCUUAUAUAAGUAAGAGUUAACUGCUCGUGUGUGUAAAGGUUGCAAGGUGAGUCCCUAUGAAUAUCAUUAUCCCAAGUAUAAUAACUGUUUUGCUGAAACUCUUGGGUUAUCUUUUAUAAACGAACCCAUAUUACUCAAUGGAGAAUUCUGGAGAGGGAAAAAGAAAGAAGUUAAUGUUGCGUUUUGAAGGCAGGCAGAGGUCACAUGAAAAUUGCCCAAGAUUUUUGAUUGAGUAAUGUACUUUGGAAUAAGUCGCUGUGAUUCUUUGGCAGAACACUGUUUAUUGUUCAAGUGAAAUUUUUCACAGUUAAUAAGAUGGUCAGUUGCAGGUAUUGAAAAUAUUUGCCCUGCCAAAUACCACAAGAGUGAAAACCGUCAUGCUGGUUGAAUAAUGAAACAGAAAUCAUUCCAGCAAACUGCCUGACAGCUGGGGGAGAAAUUCCCAGCACAUUAUCUGACCAAAAAAAAAGUAACUGUUUUAUUGAUUAAAAACAAAACAUUAACAACAACUAUAUAUAUAUAUAUAUAUGUAUGUAUGUAUAUAAUCUCCCCAAAAAACAAAAGAACCCAACCCAGAAACACUUAUUUCUGACUAUUUUCCUAAGAGAAUUGCCAAAAGAUUUUGAUUCUAUUAUUUGCAAAGAAGUUUGACUAUCAC
RNAcentral lists this long non-coding RNA (4799 nucleotides) under Gallus gallus (chicken). Lineage: Eukaryota; Metazoa; Chordata; Aves; Galliformes; Phasianidae. The record is from RNAcentral.